Molecule: long non-coding RNA, 476 nt
Organism: Polistes dominula (European paper wasp)
Lineage: Eukaryota; Metazoa; Arthropoda; Insecta; Hymenoptera; Vespidae
Source: RefSeq, a predicted model, not a curated record
CAUACCUAUUACCCUACUUAUAAUAUUCAAUAAUUUUGAUAUUAUGUUUAAAUAAAUACAAAUUUCACCAGCAAAGUCAUUAGUGCACAGGAUAGAUCAAGUAAUUAAUUAAUAAAGAUAAAAAUAAUAAAAUCAGAGCGUUAUAAUUUUAAAUUCUAUUCAUUAGGUGAACUAUUCUCGUUCUGCGCAUGCGCAAUCUUCGCUAAAUCAUAUGAUUGACAAGUGGAAGGUGCAUACAACGUGUACUCCGUACCUUUAAACAACAAUAGACAUUUCUUUUGAUAAAUUAACAAUUAUUUUAAUACUUUUAUGCAUUUGAAAUGCGAUUGAUAUAUUAGUGGACAAUUAUAGUUACAGUUGCCUUUGAUAUGUAAGUGAUGUGUCAACGCAUUUGUGCAGUAUACAAGUGCCAAGGAUUCUUUACUAAUCUUAGAUAAGAGGAGGGAUUUAAUAAUUUGACUGGGAGUGUCUACACA